AUUAGGGUUUGAUCCUGGCUCAGAACGAACGUUAGCGGUGUGGAUUAGGCAUGCAAGUCGCGCGAGAAAGCCUUCGGGUGAGUAUAGCGGCGAACGGGUGAGUAACACGUAACCAACGUGCCCCUUAGAUCGGGAUAGCUACUGGAAACGGUGGGUAAUACCGAAUGGUCCCCUGGAUGGCAUCAUCCGGCGGGUAAACGGCGGCUUCGGCUGUUGCUAGGGGAGCGGGUUGCGGCCUAUCAGCUUGUUGGUGGGGUAAUGGCCUACCAAGGCAACGACGGGUAGCGGGUCUGAGAGGAUGAUCCGUCACACUGGGACUGAGACACUGCCCAGACUCCUACGGGAGGCUGCAGUCGAGAAUCUUCCGCAAUGGGCGAAAGCCUGACGGAGCGACACCGCGUGUAGGAUGAAGGCUCUCGGGUUGUAAACUACUGUCACGCCAUAGGAACGCUGUAGGGUUAAGAGCUAUGCAGUUGACUAAAGCGAGAGGAAGUGCCGGCUAACUCCGUGCCAGCAGCCGCGGUAAGACGGAGGGCACAAACGUUGUUCGGAAUUACUGGGCAUAAAGCGCACGUAGGCGGCCCGUUAAGUCAGUUGUGAAAGCCCUCGGCUCAACCGAGGAACUGCAACUGAAACUGGCGGGCUCGAGGAAGACAGGGGUGAGUGGAACUCCAGGUGGAACGGUGAAAUGUGUAGAUAUCUGGAGGAACACCGGUGGCGAAAGCGGCUCACUGGGUCUUCUCUGACGCUGAGGUGCGAAAGCUAGGGUAGCAAACGGGAUUAGAUACCCCGGUAGUCCUAGCCGUAAACGAUGGGCACUAGGUAGUGGGUCCUAUGAAGCUCACUGCCGUAGCAAAUGUGUUAAGUGCCCCGCCUGGGGAGUACGCUCGCAAGGGUAAAACUCAAAGGAAUUGACGGGGGAUCACACAAGCGGUGGAGCAUGUUGCUUAAUUCGAUUAUACGCGAAGAACCUUAUCCUGGACUUGACAUGCCUGGAUGCCCAUCUGGAAACAGAGUAGGCUGCCCUUCGGAGUGAAACUUACACAGGUGCUGCAUGGCUGUCGUCAGCUCGUGUCGUGAGAUGUUGGGUUAAGUCCCGUAACGAGCGAAACCCUUGUCGCUAGUUGCCAGCGCGUAAUGGCGGGGACUCUAGUGAGACUGCCGGUGUUAAACCGGAGGAAGGUGGGGAUGACGUCAAGUCCUCAUGGCCUUUAUGCCCAGGGCUGCAAACGUGCUACAAUGACCGGGACAAACCGACGCAAGACCGCGAGGUGGAGCAAAUCGGAAAAAACCGGCCCCAGUUCGGAUUGGAGUCUGCAACUCGACUCCAUGAAGUUGGAAUCGCUAGUAAUCGUGUAUCAGCUACGACGCGGUGAAUGUGUUCCUGAGCCUUGUACACACCGCCCGU
This 1408-nucleotide ribosomal RNA is filed under the name uncultured prokaryote. RNAcentral describes it as "partial 16S ribosomal RNA". It matches the Rfam family "Bacterial small subunit ribosomal RNA". The record is from RNAcentral.